GACGAACGCUGGCGGCGUGCUUAACACAUGCAAGUCGGACGGAAAGGCCCUGCUUUUGUGGGGUGCUCGAGUGGCGAACGGGUGAGUAACACGUGAGUAACCUGCCCUUGACUUUGGGAUAACUUCAGGAAACUGGGGCUAAUACCGGAUAGGAGCUCCUGCUGCAUGGUGGGGGUUGGAAAGUUUCGGCGGUUGGGGAUGGACUCGCGGCUUAUCAGCUUGUUGGUGGGGUAGUGGCUUACCAAGGCUUUGACGGGUAGCCGGCCUGAGAGGGUGACCGGCCACAUUGGGACUGAGAUACGGCCCAGACUCCUACGGGAGGCAGCAGUGGGGAAUAUUGCACAAUGGGCGGAAGCCUGAUGCAGCAACGCCGCGUGCGGGAUGACGGCCUUCGGGUUGUAAACCGCUUCCGCCUGUGACGAAGCGUGAGUGACGGUAAUGGGUAAAGAAGCACCGGCUAACUACGUG
This 468-nucleotide ribosomal RNA is filed under the name uncultured bacterium. Its description in RNAcentral is "partial 16S ribosomal RNA". It matches the Rfam family "Bacterial small subunit ribosomal RNA", at positions 28 to 507 of the family's 1533-position model. The record is from RNAcentral.